RNAcentral lists this ribosomal RNA (919 nucleotides) under uncultured bacterium. RNAcentral describes it as "bacterial SSU rRNA". It matches the Rfam family "Archaeal small subunit ribosomal RNA", at positions 1 to 922 of the family's 1478-position model. The record is from RNAcentral.
UUUCCGGUUGAUCCUGCCAGAGGUUACUGCUAUCGGUGUUCGCCUAAGCCAUGCGAGUCAUAUGUAGCAAUGCAUGGCGUACUGCUCAGUAACACGUGGAUAACCUGCCCUUGGGACCGGCAUAACCCCGGGAAACUGGGGAUAAUUCCGGAUAACGCAUAUUUGCUGGAAUGCUUUAUGCGUCAAAAGGAUUCGUCUGCCCAAGGAUGGGUCUGCGGCCUAUCAGGUAGUAGUGGGUGUAAUGUACCUACUAGCCAGCGACGGGUACGGGUUGUGAGAGCAAGAGCCCGGAGAUGGAUUCUGAGACAUGAAUCCAGGCCCUACGGGGCGCAGCAGGCGCGAAAACUUUACAAUGCGGGAAACCGUGAUAAGGGGACACCGAGUGCCAGCAUCAUAUGCUGGCUGUCCGGAUGUGUAAAAUACAUCCGUUAGCAAGGGCCGGGCAAGACCGGUGCCAGCCGCCGCGGUAGCACCGGCGGCCCGAGUGGUGAUCGUGAUUAUUGGGUCUAAAGGGUCCGUAGCCGGUUUGGUCAGUCCUCCGGGAAAUCUGAUAGCUCAACUAUUAGGCCUUCGGGGGAUACUGCCAGACUUGGAACCGGGAGAGGUAAGAGGUACUACAGGGGUAGGAGUGAAAUCUUGUAAUCCCUGUGGGACCACCUGUGGCGAAGGCGUCUUACCAGAACGGGUUCGACGGUGAGGGACGAAAGCUGGGGGCACGAACCGGAUUAGAUACCCGGGUAGUCCCAGCCGUAAACGAUGCUCGCUAGGUGUCAGGCAUGGCGCGACCGUGUCUGGUGCCGCAGGGAAGCCGUGAAGCGAGCCACCUGGGAAGUACGGCCGCAAGGCUGAAACUUAAAGGAAUUGGCGGGGGAGCACAACAACGGGUGGAGCCUGCGGUUUAAUUGGAUUCAACGCCGGG